GAUGAACGCUGGCGGCGUGCCUAAUACAUGCAAGUCGAGCGAACAGACGAGGAGCUUGCUCCUCUGACGUUAGCGGCGGACGGGUGAGUAACACGUGGAUAACCUACCUAUAAGACUGGGAUAACUUCGGGAAACCGGAGCUAAUACCGGAUAAUAUAUUGAACCGCAUGGUUCAAUAGUGAAAGACGGUUUUGCUGUCACUUAUAGAUGGAUCCGCGCCGCAUUAGCUAGUUGGUAAGGUAACGGCUUACCAAGGCGACGAUGCGUAGCCGACCUGAGAGGGUGAUCGGCCACACUUGAACUGAGACACGGUCCAGACUCCUACGGGAGGCAGCAGUAGGGAAUCUUCCGCAAUGGGCGAAAGCCUGACGGAGCAACGACGCGUGAGUGAUGAAGGUCUUCGGAUCGUAAAACUCUGUUAUUAGGGAAGAACAAAUGUGUAAGUAACUAUGCACGUCUUGACGGUACCUAAUCAGAAAGCCACGGCUAACUACGUG
Molecule: ribosomal RNA, 497 nt
Filed under: uncultured bacterium
Lineage: Bacteria
Description: partial 16S ribosomal RNA
Rfam family: Bacterial small subunit ribosomal RNA
Source: RNAcentral